Molecule: non-coding RNA, 262 nt
Organism: Roseburia sp. CAG:45
Lineage: Bacteria; Bacillati; Bacillota; Clostridia; Lachnospirales; Lachnospiraceae
Rfam family: Bacterial large signal recognition particle RNA
About the family: The signal recognition particle (SRP) is a universally conserved ribonucleoprotein involved in the co-translational targeting of proteins to membranes.
Source: Rfam
CCGAGCAGCCGGGGUGGCAGCGGUGCCCUGUACCAGCAAUCCGCUAUAGCUGGGGUGAUAUCCUGUCUCGGGUUUGAAAUUGUAAAGCAGCCCUGAAUAAGUGGCGUUGAUGUCUGGGUCUUACGCAACAGGAAUCUGUGAACCGGGUCAGGUCAGGAAUGAAGCAGCCCUAAGCGGAAGCUCCUGUGUGCCGUAAGGUCGCCUGGACUGAGUUGGCUGUUCAGGUAACGUUUGCAACGAGAAUUCAAAACAGGAUGCUCGG